AGCUUUGCGCAGUGGCAGUAUCGUAGCCAAUGAGGUUUAUCCGAGGCACGAUUAUUGCUAAUUGAAAGUUAGCAGGUGAAGGCCCAAGUAAUUGUGUCCCUGCCACACACAUGGAAGGCCUAGAUUUAAGUUCUGGGACCAUGACUGCAGA
This 151-nucleotide small nuclear RNA is filed under the name Ochotona princeps (American pika). Its description in RNAcentral is "U4 spliceosomal RNA (ENSOPRG00000021988.1)". It matches the Rfam family "U4 spliceosomal RNA". From Rfam's summary of the family: U4 small nuclear RNA (U4 snRNA) is a component of the major U2-dependent spliceosome. The record is from RNAcentral. Lineage: Eukaryota; Metazoa; Chordata; Mammalia; Lagomorpha; Ochotonidae.